CCUACGGGGGGCAGCAGUGAGGAAUAUUGGUCAAUGGACGCAAGCCUGAACCAGCCAAGUCGCGUGCAGGAAGACGGCCCUAUGAGUUGUAAACCGCUUUUGUACGGGGGUAAACGCAGACACGCGUAUCGUUCUGAAAGUAUCCUACGAAUAAGGAUCGGCUAACUCCGUGCCAGCAGCCGCGGUAAUACGGAGGAUGCGAGCGUUAUCCGGAUUUAUUGGGUUUAAAGGGUGCGUAGGCGGUCGGGCAAGUUAGCGGUAAAAUUCCGAGGCUCAACCUCUUCGAUGCGUGGAAUAUGGUGUUCUUGAGUGAGCGUGAAGUAUGCGGAAUGCGUGGUGGAGCGGUGAAAUGCAUAGAUAUCACGCAGAACUCCGAUUGCGAAGGCAGCAUACCGGCGCUCAACUGACGCGCAUGCACGAAAGUGUGGGUAUCGAACAGGAUUAGAUACCCUAGGAGUC
This 459-nucleotide ribosomal RNA is filed under the name uncultured bacterium. Its description in RNAcentral is "partial 16S ribosomal RNA". It matches the Rfam family "Bacterial small subunit ribosomal RNA", at positions 338 to 795 of the family's 1533-position model. The record is from RNAcentral.